Zingiber officinale is the source of this 106-nucleotide small nucleolar RNA. The record is from RefSeq and is a predicted model, not a curated record. Lineage: Eukaryota; Viridiplantae; Streptophyta; Magnoliopsida; Zingiberales; Zingiberaceae.
AAACCAUGAUGAUGGCACUGCCUUUGAAGACUCUUGAAUGUAUCCCAUGCUUCAAAUAAUGAUUCUCCAUUUGCCUAAGAAAAAUUUGUUAUCCAAUUCCUCAUAU